Molecule: ribosomal RNA, 468 nt
Filed under: uncultured bacterium
Lineage: Bacteria
Description: partial 16S ribosomal RNA
Rfam family: Bacterial small subunit ribosomal RNA
Source: RNAcentral
GACGAACGCUGGCGGCGUGCUUAACACAUGCAGGUCGAACGGAAAGGCCCUGCUUUUGUGGGGUGCUCGAGUGGCGAACGGGUGAGUAACACGUGAGUAACCUGCCCUUGACUUUGGGAUAACUUCAGGAAACUGGGGCUAAUACCGGAUAGGAGCUCCUGCUGCAUGGUGGGGGUUGGAAAGUUUCGGCGGUUGGGGAUGGACUCGCGGCUUAUCAGCUUGUUGGUGGGGCAGUGGCUUACCAAGGCUUUGACGGGUAGCCGGCCUGAGAGGGUGACCGGCCACAUUGGGACUGAGAUACGGCCCAGACUCCUACGGGAGGCAGCAGUGGGGAAUAUUGCACAAUGGGCGGAAGCCUGAUGCAGCAACGCCGCGUGCGGGAUGACGGCCUUCGGGUUGUAAACCGCUUUCGCCUGUGACGAAGCGUGAGUGACGGUAAUGGGUAAAGAAGCACCGGCUAACUACGUG